Molecule: ribosomal RNA, 1512 nt
Organism: Fimbriimonas ginsengisoli Gsoil 348
Lineage: Bacteria; Bacillati; Armatimonadota; Fimbriimonadia; Fimbriimonadales; Fimbriimonadaceae
Rfam family: Bacterial small subunit ribosomal RNA
Source: Rfam
UCUUCGGAGAGUUUGAUCAUGGCUCAGGACGAACGCUGGCGGCGUGCCUAAAACAUGCAAGUCGAACGAGGGUAGUAAUACCUUAGUGGCGAACGGCGGAGUAAUACAUAAGCAACGUGCCCCGAAGACUGGGAUAUACAGCCGAAAGGCUGGGCAAUACCGGAUGUGACGGAAGAUCGGCAUCGAUUUUCCAUUAAACAGUUUUUUGCUUCGGGAGCGGCUUAUGGCCUAUCAGGUAGUUGGUGAGGUAACGGCUCACCAAGCCGACGACGGGUAGCGGGUCUGAGAGGAUGGUCCGCUCGAGUGGGACUGAGACACGGCCCACACACCUACGGGUGGCAGCAGUUGGGAAUCUUGCACAAUGGGGGAAACCCUGAUGCAGCGACGCCGCGUGGAGGACGAAGGGUCUAGGCCUGUAAACUCCUUUUACUCGGAAAGACUUAGGACGGUACCGAGUGAAUAAGGACCGGCUAACUACGUGCCAGCAGCCGCGGUAAGACGUAGGGUCCAAGCGUUGUCCGGAUUUACUGGGCGUAAAGAGCGCGUAGGCGGCUCGUUAAGUGUAGAGUGAAAUCUCUGGGCUCACCCCAGAAACCGCUGUGCAUACUGGCGAGCUGGAGUGUCGGAGAGGUAUGUGGAAUUCCUGGUGUAGCGGUGAAAUGCGUUGAUAUCAGGAGGAACACCCAUGGCGAAGGCAGCAUACUGGCCGACCACUGACGCUGAGGCGCGAAAGCGUGGGUAGCAAACAGGAUUAGAUACCCUGGUAGUCCACGCCCUAAACGAUGGAUACUAGGCGUAAGGGGUAUCGACCCCCCUUGUGCCGCAGCUAACGCACUAAGUAUCCCGCCUGGGGAGUACGGCCGCAAGGUUGAAACUCAAAUGAAUUGACGGGGACCCGCACAAGCGGUGGAGCAUGUGGAUUAAUUCGAUACUAACCGAAGAACCUUACCCAGACUUGACAUCGAUUGAAAAGUCCAGAAAUGGGCUCCUCCCUCACAAGGGGACAUGAAGACACUUGUUGCAUGGCUGUCGUCAGCUCGUGCCGUGAGGUGUACGGUUAAGUCCGCCAACGAGCGCAACCCACGUCCUGUGUUACCAGCGAGAAAGUCGGGCACUCACAGGAGACCGCCGGUGUAAGCCGGAGGAAGGUGUGGAUGACGUCAAGUCAGCAUGGCAGUUACGUCUGGGGCUUCACACAUGCUACAAUGGGCGCAACAGAGGGCCGCGAUACCGCGAGGUGGAGCCAAUCCCAAAAAUACGCCCCCAGUUCAGAUUGCAGUCUGCAACUCGACUGCAUGAAGGCGGAAUCGCUAGUAAACGCAGGUCAGCUAUACUGCGUUGAAUACGUUCCCGGGUCUUGUACACACCGCCCGUCAAGUCACUUGAAUCGUCUUCACCCGAAGUCCGUGGCCUAACCCGCAAGGGAAGGAGCGGCCGAAGGUGAGGGGGGUAAGAGGGACUAAGUCGUAACAAGGUACCCGUACCGGAAGGUGUGGGUGGAUCACCUCCUUA